Molecule: long non-coding RNA, 855 nt
Organism: Myotis brandtii (Brandt's bat)
Lineage: Eukaryota; Metazoa; Chordata; Mammalia; Chiroptera; Vespertilionidae
Exons: 2
Source: RefSeq, a predicted model, not a curated record
AGUAGCCUCGGGGCGUCCAGGAGGGUCGGUCCAGGCCGGGAAGAGACCCCAUCCCCCCGCGGGGCGAGCCGAGAUGUGGGCGGCAGGUGCCCAGGAAGAGGCAGGCGGGACUGAGCAGAAAGAGUAGGCGUCUGCCGGGAGCCCUGGGGGCCGAAGCGGGACAGCAGAGGCCGAAACAGGAACUGGGGCAGAGGCGGAGCCGGGGCGGCCACAUGAUGGGGUGGAGCCCGGGGGCGUCCGCAGAGAUCUCCAGGGACCCCUGUGACACGAGUCCAGCUAGAAUGUCAUGCAGGCGCCCUAGCUCCACUGAGGUUACCAACCCCGCCUGCGCCUGGGAGUUCCCGGCCCCUGGACCACUCCUAGUGCAUCCGGACGUACCCAGAGCUCCGGUCCUCCACCUAAACUGUACACUCGGGAGAGGUGAGCCCAUCUGCUGGAGGGGGCCGUGUGAACUCAGUUCCGGGAGCCAGGGGUGUCCAAGGCUCCCAGUGCACCCCAACAGCCCUGCCUCCGAGAGCCCCCAAGGAUGAAGAAAAGGAGGCCACAAGCAGUUAAGAAAUUGGCCCAACGGCAGACAGCUCCUGAGAGGAAGAGUCAGACUGAACCACAGGCACUGACCUCCAGACGCCAGUAGGCAUGAACUAGCACCCAGAACCCACAGGAAAAGCAUCAGAGUUUGAGUUCAGCACUAACUUGUACUGUGACUUCAGGAGUCCCUCCUUCCCUCACAGGGCUGCUAUCAUGAGGAAAAUCAGCUAACAUUUGCAAAGUGGCCAACAGGAUGUCUAAUCCACAGUAAGUGCUUGAGAAAGAGCCUGAAUUUUCUCACGUAAUAAAAUAUUUCUUGGGCAUCUA